Molecule: ribosomal RNA, 450 nt
Filed under: uncultured bacterium
Lineage: Bacteria
Description: bacterial SSU rRNA
Rfam family: Bacterial small subunit ribosomal RNA
Source: RNAcentral
UACCAGACUCCUACGGGAGGCAGCAGUGGGGAAUAUUGGGCAAUGGGCGCAAGCCUGACCCAGCAACGCCGCGUGAAGGAAGAAGGUUUUCGGGUUGUAAACUUCUUUUGUCAGGGACGAAGCAAGUGACGGUACCUGACGAAUAAGCCACGGCUAACUACGUGCCAGCAGCCGCGGUAAUACGUAGGUGGCAAGCGUUAUCCGGAUUUACUGGGUGUAAAGGGCGUGUAGGCGGGGAAGCAAGUCAGAUGUGAAAACCACGGGCUCAACCUGUGGCCUGCAUUUGAAACUGUUUUUCUUGAGUACUGGAGAGGCAGACGGAAUUCCUAGUGUAGCGGUGAAAUGCGUAGAUAUUAGGAGGAACACCAGUGGCGAAGGCGGCCUGCUGGACGACAACUGACGGUGAGGCGCGAAAGCGUGGGGAGCAAACAGGAUUAGAUACCCGGGUAC